This is a long non-coding RNA of Carassius gibelio (silver crucian carp), 1134 nucleotides long. RefSeq lists it as uncharacterized. NCBI's taxonomy places the organism in Eukaryota, Metazoa, Chordata, Actinopteri, Cypriniformes, Cyprinidae. The record is from RefSeq and is a predicted model, not a curated record. The transcript has 3 exons.
AGCUAACCAAAGGACAAAAUUCAACAUUUUUUUAAUAAUUAUUGAUCUACAGAGUCCACAGAAUAUUACUGCAGUGGUUUGGUUCCGAUCGGACAAAAAACCUAGGACUAGUUCGCAAAAGUAGGUUUUUAACAUAUUUGUGAAUAACAAUUGAACGAUUUGAUUGACAGCAAUGGUUCUUGAGGCAAAGUUGUGCAUUAUGAGGAGAUCUAUCAAAUGAUAUGCAUAUUGUGUUGAUAUGUGAAACACCACGUGAUUACAGAGCCAUAAAACUCGUUAGCGCCAACUAGUGGCCGAUUUCUUUCAAAAUUCUUACAGACCUUAAGGUUCAUGAGUCGAACGUACCCAGCGAGUUUCGUUCCGAACAACAUCCGUUAACCCUUUCAAAUAGGUGCUUAAAAUUGUUUGGCCAAUGGCAGCCAUGUUUUUUGAGAUAUGCAAAUGUCCUCAUAGGUACUUGUGCCCCUUCAGACCAAGACACUGCAUACCAAUUUUCAAGUCGAUCGAGCCAACGGUUGCCUAGUUAUAGCCAUUUAUGUGUUUUUUAAAUCUUAUUGCGCCCCCAAGUGGCAGAGAUGCGCAAUUUUUUUUUAUUUGACCAAAGAUUGAGCUCAUACAUAUGUGUACCAAGUUUGGUCAAGAUAUCUCAUUCCGUUCAAGAGUUAUAGUCAAAAUAACAUUUGGCUAACGUUAGCAUAGACGCUUUUUGGCGUACUGUUUCGCGUAAGAAUCGAAAUUUCAACUUUUUUUUGAUAAUUAUUUAUAUUGAGUGUCCAGGGAAUAUUUCUGCAGUGGUUUCGUUCCGAUUGGUUGAAAAUCCUAGGACUAGUUCGCAAAAGUAGGUUUCGGAUAUAGCUCGAUUUUGCGAGAAAACGGUGCGUCGUAGAGCAAAAAAAGGCGCUGUGCACUUUUGUUUGGGCUAACCCAAGGAUUGCAAUGAUGCCAUGUUUUUGAGUCUACGGCUAACGGUUUACGACCUGCGGCCAAAAAUGUCAAAAAUUUUAGUUUUUUGCGCUGUAGCGCCCCCGUUAGGCCGAUUGGGCCGGUUCUUUGUAUCUGAGUAGCGAGCAAGACUACUACCAUCUGACCAAGUUUCAGCUCUCUAGGCCUUACGGUUUGGGCUGCACGUUCAGU